Long non-coding RNA from Pieris napi, 3807 nucleotides. RefSeq lists it as uncharacterized. The record is from RefSeq and is a predicted model, not a curated record. NCBI's taxonomy places the organism in Eukaryota, Metazoa, Arthropoda, Insecta, Lepidoptera, Pieridae. The transcript is spliced from 2 exons.
UUUCGUUACGUUCCAUCAAACUUCCGCACAUACAGUCAUAGACUAUGACGUCAGUGACGUUUAUGAAAUUUGGCAGCUGACAAUGACAAACUUGAGUUAAGAAAUGUUAUUUUUUUUAACAGAUACGUCACAAUUAGUUUAGUCUGUGUGAAAAGGGAGCCGUGCGAACUAAUAAUACACUUCCUAUUUGGCGCGUGUUCAUUUCUUCACAAGAAAUAUAUACUUUUAAUUUUAUCAUAUUUAGUAUUAAAACUGUGUUGAGAACAUAACAAAAGAGGUAUUUUAACUGCUGCUACCUCAAAUUCCACAAUAGUUCUCUUUCCACACAACCAGUUAGCUAAUUAUUGUCACAAUUUGGUCAGCAGAUAAGGUUAGCGUUUGAUGAUAGUGUUAGGAUAUUUAAAUGUACGCCCAUUUGAAUUAUUAAAUCGUAAUACAUAAAUAAAACAGCUUCCAUGUGAUAAGGUUCAAUUUUGACCAAAUAGGGGCUUUCAUAUUCAUAAUAUUUAUUUAAUAGCUUUAAGAAUUUUAAUAUAAGUUAGAUAAUAGUUUUAAACAUAAUCAUUGUUUUUACAAAUAAUUGCUUUGUAUGUUGUUUGGUGACAGUGUGCUUUCAAAUUAGGGUAAGAUUAAAUAAAAGGGUGAGAUUCAGAAACGAGUGAACUAUGACUUCUGUAUGUCAAUAUGUCAUUUUUGACGUUUUGACGUGAAAAACGUGUUAAAUUUUGACAAACGGAAUCCAUAGUACACGUUUGACUCGAUUUUGAAUCGUAUCCGUACAAUAUCGACUAGCUGAUUUAAUACCAAACAUAAAUAAUAUGGCAAAGAACAAAUAUAUACAGCGACUGAUUUAUUAAGCUAUAUAAACGGUACCUAAAAGUGAACAACUUUAUCAUUUUGUGAUUAAAAAUAUUUUAUUUAUACAGUUAUAACAAGUGCCAAAAAUUUUCAUUACCAUUAUCAAUAGUAUGAGAAUUUGCAAUAUUUUAUAUGAAACGACGCUUUUAAUGUAUUACCAAUGAAUUUAAUUGUAUUAUUGUUGUUAUAAAGUGAAUUAGUACUUAUACAUUAAUUUUUAAGAAAACCCAAUUAUGGAUAUAAAGGAAUCGACGAUUGCAUUAACUGGCUUUAGAUCGUUGAAUGUGGGUCAUAGAUAAGAAUCAAGCUUUAAUCUUGUUUCUAUCAAACACAUCACACCAUUGAUAAAUUAUUUCGAAUACAAGAUCUGAUUGAUUUAUUUUUCAGUGUGUACACAAAUAAGUUAGGUUAGAUUUAGAAAUGCAGACAAAUAUUUAAUUAAUAGUCCAAUAUACCUCUAAAGAUCGUUAGCAGACUAAGCUAAUGAUUUUAUAAUCAGAUCAUUUACUAAGGAUAGAACAUAAGUUGUUAUUUUGAAUUCUGCUAAGUAAUGGCUUUAAAACACAAACUAAACAAAGAUGGCGUCGCACCAUUCUUGUGACGUACCAUGCUUUUAAACAUGGGUCAAGUUUUGUAGGUAUUAAUUAUCAUUUUGUGAUUUCUGUUAAAUUACACAAGUACAUUAUUUAUUAUUAUAUUUCGAAAAAACAGUGUCCGACGAAAUUAAACUUCAAGACAGUAUUAGGCGAGGACAUAUUAUUUACAAGCAUGCUUCGUCAACGUCAAUUCGACUAAUCCUGACCGUUUAAAAGAUAUUUGGCUCCAUAACUUUAAAGCCAUGUUAUACAGAUAACUCUCAACAACACUUUAUCUGUCAAGUAGCCUAUUGAUAAACGACAUAACAGGUGUCGCUUGAAUAUGAUUGAUUAAAGAUGCUAUAGACCAAUUAUAAUCAAACUACGCUAUCGGUCGUCUUAUUUUAUAAUAAUAUGUUACCAUUCUAACUUAGUUUUUAGAUUAGAAGAAAUUAUAAAUAUUGGUAUAAAAUUGCUCGACGAAACUAACGCUAAACGAUUCCUAUUUGUAUCGGAAUGACGCUUCGUUACCUAUUUUCAUAUAUUUUCAGUGUUUUUAUUUCAAGCCUUGCAUUUUCAUGGUAGGAUAUUCACGUAGCUUCCACUAUAACAGUAAAUCUAUUUAACAUAACGCUAUAUAGAAUUGUGUAAAAUAAAUGCCUUCCAUUUAAAAGUAAAGUACUUAAACGUAAUAAAAAUAAAUGCAUAGACAAUAUCAGAAUCUUCAAACUUUUUAAUAGGUGUCUAGUAGCUUUUUGUACAUAAUGAACAUAGAGUACUUUUGUAGGAUUUUGUAUAUCAAUAUUGACUUAGUGGUAUAAACAUGAAUGUAAGAAAAUUUUGUCUAAUCCAGUGUUUCCUAACGUGGGACCCACGCCCCACAGGGGGGUAAUUCCAAAAUGUUUUAAAAUUAUUUGGAAUUAGAAUUUCAGGUUUUCUUUAUAUAUUUAGAAAAUGUACAAGUACUUUGUAUUUCGUUAACAAUUUCCUAGUAUUUUUUAAAAUCAAUCUUUAAGUUUCUUAAGUGAACCAUUCAAUUAUUUAAUAUUAAAAAUUAUGUAUGUGAAAUAAGGUGGGGCAUUGCAAAAAUAGGUUGGGAAACACUGGUCUAAUCUAUCUUAUUAUUAUUGUAUAGAUUUAAAAAAAAAAACAAAACUUAUUUACUUAUUAUAAUACAAGAUGUCCAAGUUAUGGCGGCUAUACAGUAUACACGCUAGUCGAGUCGAGUCUGACCUUUCAGCAAGAGGACAAUAUGUAUAGACUCGGUAGCAGUUUAUCUGCAGUUAAUCUUUUACCAUUAGCGCCUUGUCUUGCUUUCAGCUUUAUUAUAACACAUGGACUAAAAUAGUGCUGUGUUUUUACUAUGGUUACCAUGGAAAUAAACAUCGUAACACAUAAGUUACUAUUUUUGGUAUAAGCUUUUUAAGCCGCUUCACGGAGAGUUAGCGAGGCGAGACGAGGCGCACUCGUUCAUAGCCUGUUUCGUUAUAUUAAUAUAAUUAUAUUAGCUAUAAGGUAUUCAAAUAUUGUUUAUUCUGUGGAUAACGUAAGAAAUUCUGAAAUAGAGCAUUAAACGCAUGUUGAUUGAGAUUUUAUUUAUAAUAACUUCAAGAAUAUAAAAAGUAUCAAAAAUUAUAAGUCUUAGUACUCUUUUGUUAUCUACAGUGAAAAUACAUGAUGGUUAGUUUGGCUAAGACACCCAGGAGCUUGAGACAGAAUCACUUUUCGACAGGCGUGACCUACCUAACGCGAAACUAAUUUGUAUGGGAAUGAAAUAAGCUCACGCUUUAUCACGUGAAAAUUUUCAUGCAAAUUGUCGUGGCGUUAUUGGGUCACGCCUGUUGAAAUGUGAGUGUACAUAUUUUGCCGCCUGAGACAAACAUCUGUUUUCGCAGGUGCAUUCCAUACAAACUCACUCUCGUUAGCCGACCCCAGUUAUAAGAUGUUUUGUCUAGUAAACCAAACUUCAUUCUUAGAAUAAAAUGCCUAACCGCCAUUUUUAUCAUAUAAAGUUAAUAUUACAUUUAUUGUGUUUAAAGAUAUUUUAAAUUUGUAAUUAUUAAAAAUGUAUUAAUGACGUAAAAGUCAAAAUGAUAAAGAUUCCUAAUUUUUGUUUACUAUUAUUUACGGUGCAAUUCUGAUAGAAUCAACUUUAUAUUUGUUGAUGGUAAGAUCCUAGUCAUAGAUUAUAUUUAUACUUAGUUGUGUUGUUGUAAAAUAUAGCUUGUGUUUUUUAAUGUGAAUUAAUAUUAUCAAUUAAAAUGUAAGUAUGUGGAAUUCCCAUAUGAUUUAUUGUAAUCUCAUGUAAUAUUAUAAAACAGAGUUAAUUUUUGUAACUAAUUUUUGUGUCAUUUAAUAAACUUUAUGAUCUGGU